GCCGACAUAGCUCAGCGGUAGAGCGGCGCACUCGUAAUGCGCAGGUCGUGGGUUCGAGUCCCACUGUCGGCUCCA
RNAcentral lists this transfer RNA (75 nucleotides) under Pseudomonadota bacterium. RNAcentral describes it as "tRNA-Thr". It matches the Rfam family "tRNA". Rfam says of the family: Transfer RNA (tRNA) molecules are approximately 80 nucleotides in length. RNAcentral also lists the same sequence under 5 other names. Lineage: Bacteria; Pseudomonadati; Pseudomonadota. The record is from RNAcentral.